RNAcentral lists this ribosomal RNA (253 nucleotides) under uncultured bacterium. RNAcentral's name for it is "partial 16S ribosomal RNA". It matches the Rfam family "Bacterial small subunit ribosomal RNA", at positions 524 to 776 of the family's 1533-position model. The record is from RNAcentral.
UACAGAGGGUGCAAGCGUUAAUCGGAAUUACUGGGCGUAAAGCGCGCGUAGGUGGUUCGUUAAGUUGGAUGUGAAAUCCCCGGGCUCAACCUGGGAACUGCAUUCAAAACUGACGAGCUAGAGUAUGGUAGAGGGUGGUGGAAUUUCCUGUGUAGCGGUGAAAUGCGUAGAUAUAGGAAGGAUCACCAGUGGCGAAGGCGACCACCUGGACUGAUACUGACACUGAGGUGCGAAAGCGUGGGGAGCAAACAGG